GACGAACGCUGGCGGUGUGCUUCACACAUGCAAGUCGAACGAGGUAGCAAUACCUAGUGGCGGACGGGUGAGUAACGCGUGGGAAUCUGCCUUUAGAUGGGGGAUAACGGGUCGAAAGACUCGCUAAUACCGCAUAUGACGAAAGUUGAAAGGAGUAAUCCGUCUAAAGAUGAGCCCGCGUCCGAUUAGCUAGUUGGUAGAGUAAAAGCCUACCAAGGCGACGAUCGGUAGCUGGUCUGAGAGGAUGAUCAGCCACAAUGGGAACUAGAGACACGGCCCAUACUCCUACGGAGGCAGCAGUGGGAAUUUACGCAAUGGGCGAAAGCCUGACGUAGCGACACCGCGUGAGCGAAGAAGCCCCUGGGGUGUAAAGCUCUGUCAGCUGGAACGAAAAAAAUAGACGGUACCAGCAGAGGAAGCAUCGGCUAACUACGUGCCAGCAGCCGCGGUAAU
This 453-nucleotide ribosomal RNA is filed under the name uncultured bacterium. Its description in RNAcentral is "bacterial SSU rRNA". It matches the Rfam family "Bacterial small subunit ribosomal RNA", at positions 28 to 524 of the family's 1533-position model. The record is from RNAcentral.